UACAAGGCACAUCAAUUUCUGCAGCCUGGGUCAACAAACCGGUUUACACAUGCUAUGAUGUGGAAAGGAGGAAAGGAUUGGAUAUUGGAAUUUCCUGAUAGGAGUCAGUGGGCUCGUUUCAAAGAGAUGCAUGAAGAGUGCUAUAAUCGGAACAUCCGUGCUGCCUCUGUUAGAAACAUUCCUAUUCCUGGGGUUCGCUUGAUAGAGGAAAAUGACGACAAUGGAAUUGAAGUUCCAUUUGUUCGAAGUUCAUCUAAGUACUUUCGGCAGAUUGAAACUGAUAUUGAGAUGGCUUUGGAUCCAUUGAGGGUGCUAUAUGACAUGGAUAGUGAUGAUGAGCAGUGGGUGUUGAAAAAUCGAACUUCUUCAGAAGCUGCCAACAGUAGUUCAUGGGAGAUAUCUGACGAAAUGUUCGAGAAGACUAUGGACAUGUUUGAGAAGGCUGCAUAUUCUCAACAAUGUAACCAAUUUACAUCUGAUGAAAUAGAAGACCUCAUGGCUGGACUGGGCCCAAUGAAAGCAAUCAAAAUUAUCCAUGAGUAUUGGCAGCAAAAGAGGCAGAGGAAGGGAAUGCCUUUAAUCCGUCAUCUCCAGCCACCUCUAUGGGAGAGGUAUCAGCAACAGUUGAGGGAGUGGGAGCUAGCAAAAAGUACUACCCUUUCUAAUGGAUGUCAUGAGAAGGUGGCACAUGUUGAAAAGCCUCCCAUGUUUGCUUUCUGCUUGAAACCACGG
RNAcentral lists this unclassified non-coding RNA (732 nucleotides) under Hevea brasiliensis (rubber tree). The record is from RNAcentral. Lineage: Eukaryota; Viridiplantae; Streptophyta; Magnoliopsida; Malpighiales; Euphorbiaceae.